RNAcentral lists this ribosomal RNA (253 nucleotides) under uncultured bacterium. RNAcentral's name for it is "partial 16S ribosomal RNA". It matches the Rfam family "Bacterial small subunit ribosomal RNA", at positions 524 to 776 of the family's 1533-position model. The record is from RNAcentral.
UACGUAGGGAGCAAGCGUUGUCCGGAAUCAUUGGGCGUAAAGCGCGCGUAGGCGGCCAUUUAAGUCCGCUGUGAAAGCCAAAGGCUCAACCUUUGAAAGCCGGUGGAUACUGGAUGGCUAGAGUACGGAAGAGGAGAGUGGAAUUCCUGGUGUAGCGGUGGAAUGCGCAGAUAUCAGGAGGAACACCAAUAGCGAAGGCAGCUCGCUGGGACGUUACUGACACUGAGGAGCGAAAGCGUGGGGAGCGAACAGG